Molecule: long non-coding RNA, 220 nt
Filed under: Mytilus galloprovincialis (Mediterranean mussel)
Lineage: Eukaryota; Metazoa; Mollusca; Bivalvia; Mytilida; Mytilidae
Source: RNAcentral
AAAUUGGUUUCCAACGAAUAUUAACGAAUCCCCAGUAUAGGUCCACAAAUUCCUUCAUCAUCACUGUAUUCAACGCCAGAAGGAAUUAGACAUUAUAGGAGGAGGUAAUAGUUUGCCUUGUACUGAUGCACCCUCAAAAUUGAUAUGUGCAUGCAUAUUUUCAGUCACUGAUGUUGAUUGUCUUACAACCACAUAUGUAUGUGUAAUUGCCCCUUAAAUA